Physeter macrocephalus (sperm whale) is the source of this 603-nucleotide long non-coding RNA. RefSeq lists it as uncharacterized. The record is from RefSeq and is a predicted model, not a curated record. The transcript has 4 exons. NCBI's taxonomy places the organism in Eukaryota, Metazoa, Chordata, Mammalia, Artiodactyla, Physeteridae.
CUGGUCUGAGGGGCCGGGUGCAAGGGCUCCGCCCGCGGCGCGCCGUGAGCAAGGGGCGCUAGACGAAGCGCAGAAGCUAAAGCCUGGAAGACACUCGUUUAAUGACUCGAGCCCCACAUGCCCUGUCCUGAGCUUCCUCUGGGGCUGCUCAGCAGAAGAACUUGACCGCCCUCCUCACUGCCCGUCCUUCUUGGCGGGCAUGGCUGUCGUAGAGCGCAGCAGCGCCUUAUCUCCCUGGCGGACUUGGUCCCCUUCCUGUCCUCACGAGUUUCCGGGUUGCGCACAAGAUAUCUGGUUCAAAUGUGGUUAACCUUGCCAAAGAGAGCAAGCACCCAGGUGAGCCGGUAAAAUAGUCAGUCGAAGCUGAGGAUGCGGUGCUUUUCAUGAUGUCUAUUUGAUGCCUUUGAACCAACCUUUGAACUUUUUUUUUUUUUUUUUUUUUUGCCUUAAGAACCUUUGACACAGCUUUCCGUCACCCUCAAUACUGGCAGAUCUUGGGUCGCUCAGGCACUAGGCAAAAGUCAUUUGCCUUGUGUCCUUUCUUUUUCUCAUACCUGUAUCUUCCCAGGUUUACUGCUGGUCUAUUUCAUUUAUAGAAACCCA